AUUUGUAGCAAGCAUGGUAACAAGCAUUCGUUGCUACACUUCUGUAAUUACAGACCACAAUUCCUACCAGAACUUUAAUAGCCUCCGAGCCGCCUGAUCCCCCGAGCUUGCAUGAACGGUUCACUGCAGCUGUAAUCAGUCUGCUCCUGUGAUUCUGCACCCAAACACCGCCCACCCGCGUCUCAUUGUAUCUGAGGAUCUGAUGAGUGUGAGACGCAGUGUAGAGCAACAGCAGCUUCCUGCCAACACAGAGAUAUGUAUGGCUCCUGGACUGAGGGCUUUAACUCAGGGAAUCACUGCUUGGAUGUUGAGGUAGGGGACAGUUAUGAAUGGUCACUAGGUGUUAUACAAGAGUCGGUCCAGAGGAAGGAAGCAGUUAGGAGCAGUAGUGGUCCCUGGGUAAAAUCCCUGGGGAAGCCAAGCCCCUCCCCCUAAACGCCAUAUUACAACCUAUAUGUUGUGAUAAUUGUGUUGUUUGCGCUAUAAACUGUUAAUUCAUAUGUCUUGACACCGUGAUAUAUAGGUCUAAAGGCCGAGACAAUAAGAACACACAGUGGCAGAAUAAAUUCAACCAUAACUUUGUUUUAUCACAAAACCGGACAGCAAACUCUGUCCAGUGAAUUUCACUUCGCAUAUUGCAGUUACAUGAACUACAGCAUGGUCAAGCAAGGUAAUGUUUACAACAUUUUCGGACCACUGACCAACUAUUGAUUUAGAACCACAGAGAGUUACCGCAAGUCACAAAGAAAACAGGAGCUGUCUCCACUAUUCCAGCACCAUUUCAAUUUCAACA
Molecule: long non-coding RNA, 793 nt
Filed under: Salmo salar (Atlantic salmon)
Lineage: Eukaryota; Metazoa; Chordata; Actinopteri; Salmoniformes; Salmonidae
Description: lncRNA (ENSSSAG00000116080.1)
Source: RNAcentral